Tupaia belangeri chinensis (Chinese tree shrew) is the source of this 446-nucleotide long non-coding RNA. RefSeq lists it as uncharacterized. The record is from RefSeq and is a predicted model, not a curated record. The transcript has 2 exons. NCBI's taxonomy places the organism in Eukaryota, Metazoa, Chordata, Mammalia, Scandentia, Tupaiidae.
CCAGGGCACUGCCCAUUCCCAGAAGGCAGCCUGCCCCAGGGGCCAUUCACCCGGCCAGGCGGGCGGUCCAAGGGGCGGGCCCAGCCCGGGAACCAGGAGUGAAGGAGGAAAGACAUGGCGCCCCUGCCCUCGAGGUGUCCGAGCACAGGUAAAUGCACUCUCUGGCAAAAACCUUAAAAAGAGAGAGAGAGGAGAGGAGACUGAAGAGGAGACACAUGGAGAAGACCUGUGACUGCGGAGACCAACGCGGCCACAGCUGGGCCAGCCUGGGGCCUCCAGAGGCUGCCAGAGCAGAGGACGGUUCUCCCGAGAGACUUUAGAAGGCGUGGCCUUGACUGAACUUUGGUGUCUGACGUCUGGCCUCUAGAACUUGAGAGAAUCAACUCCUGUUGUUGUUGCUCUUGCUUUUUAAACUUACUAUUAUUAUUAUUUUUAAAUUUUCUAUA